UACGUAGGGCGCAAGCGUUGUCCGGAAUUAUUGGGCGUAAAGAGCUCGUAGGCGGUCUGUUACGUCCGCUGUGAAAACCCAGGGCUUAACCCUGGGCUUGCAGUGGAUACGGGCAGACUAGAGGCAGGUAGGGGAGAAUGGAAUUCCCGGUGUAGCGGUGAAAUGCGCAGAUAUCGGGAGGAACACCGGUGGCGAAGGCGGUUCUCUGGGCCUGACCUGACGCUGAGACGCGAAAGCGUGGGGAGCGAACAGG
RNAcentral lists this ribosomal RNA (253 nucleotides) under uncultured bacterium. Its description in RNAcentral is "partial 16S ribosomal RNA". It matches the Rfam family "Bacterial small subunit ribosomal RNA", at positions 524 to 776 of the family's 1533-position model. The record is from RNAcentral.